CAUCCUUUGCCGCUAGGGGCUGGUUUGGAGAACAGAUUUGACCCAUCUUUUUUCUUAUUUUUUUCCUUCCUGAAUUCUCUUGAUCUCCGAGCGCUUCGGAGCUUCCUACUUGUUAUUUUUCUUUGCCCUCGUGGAGUGCUGUGGUGCAGCAUGUCCUUGUGUUUCCUCUCUCUUCUUCGUUUGUGUUCUUCCUUUGUUAGCUGUGGAAGCUGCAGCGAUCCCAAAAGCUCCAUUUUUGGUUUUUUUCUUUUGUUGUUCUAUUGUGACAUUGAGGCUAUCCAGUUGCAGUUGUGCUAGCUACUGGGGAAGAGAUUGGGCAACGAUGAAGUAUCGUUAUUGGGAACUUCGGCGACAGCGGUUGCCUAGCUACGUCGAUGACAGCUGUUGGCAAGAGGCGGUUGAGAUUCUCCUUCAGCGGCGUCUUAGCAAGCUGCCGGUUUUGCGGUUUAGAUUUUAGUUGGCAGCUUAGUGAGUUAAGGGGAAUUGUAGUGUUUCUCUACUAGUGUUGUGGUUGUUGUGACCAAGGCACAACGGUUGGAUUCUUAUGAUUAAAGUUGUCGGCUACAGGCUCUAAUCUGAUCUGGUUUGGUUAUUCUAAUUCCUUGCGUCUAGCUUCUCGUGCAUUUACUUGGUUGUGGAGAUCUUCUUCGGUAUAGUGAUUCUUAAAAAAAAUCCUCUCGUUUUGGUACUGGUGACGACAGUGUCGUCGAAGCAGCGACCUGCUCCUGUUGGGGUGUCUUUUCCCUAGGAGGUGAAUUCAAGUUGAGAUGGGGUUGCUGUCGUGGUCUGGUGGUGGCGAUGGUUCCCUUUUUCAAGUGGCGAGGUUGCAACGGAGCUGAUUCUUAUCUCCUGCGGCAUUGACUCAUCUUGGCAAGGGCAUGCUGAUUCUCUUCAUUGACACUCACUAGACCGGUGGUUGGUUCACAUUGCACGAUCUAAGGCCUGCUGAACUAGCAGAUUGCCUCAUUUGAAAACUUGGGUAUUGUUCAUUGUUCUCUGAAUUGCGGUGGUGAUCGACAAUGGUGUGGUCUGCACCAAAGGAGCUUGCGAUUUUGCAAGCUUGAAGAGGCGCUGGAGGGUGUCCAGAGGAGGAGCAAAGGCUGAAGGACGGCCUCCCUGUCAGCGUUGCAGAUCGGAAAGGAUUAGAGUCCCCCUCAAAAAUAUCCGAAUUGUUAUGAGAAAGUUCAAACAUAUGUGGAAAGGAGCAAUUUAUUUACAAUUUAAAUGGAUGGUUAUUACAUAAACAACUUGGACUAGAAACAAUUGGACGUAGAUGUGAUUGGAUGAAUUAGGGUAGAGUUGAAUGAACUUAGGCUAAUGAUGGAUGAAAAUCGGCAGAUGAAUUUCGAUUAAAGGUAGAUGCAUUUUCAUUUGUGGAUGAAAAGUCAUUUGUAAAUGAAUAUUCAAUUAUAGAUGAGAAAUUGCCUUGGAUGAAAUUUA
Non-coding RNA from Physcomitrium patens, 1440 nucleotides. NCBI's taxonomy places the organism in Eukaryota, Viridiplantae, Streptophyta, Bryopsida, Funariales, Funariaceae. The record is from RefSeq and is a predicted model, not a curated record.